ACGGCAGCGGGGGAGAAGCUUGCUUCUCCUGCCGGCGAGUGGCGAACGGGUGAGUAAUACAUCGGAACGUGCCCUGUAGUGGGGGAUAACUAGUCGAAAGAUUAGCUAAUACCGCAUACGACCUGAGGGUGAAAGUGGGGGACCGCAAGGCCUCAUGCUAUAGGAGCGGCCGAUGUCUGAUUAGCUAGUUGGUGGGGUAAAGGCCCACCAAGGCGACGAUCAGUAGCUGGUCUGAGAGGACGAUCAGCCACACUGGGACUGAGACACGGCCCAGACUCCUACGGGAGGCAGCAGUGGGGAAUUUUGGACAAUGGGCGAAAGCCUGAUCCAGCAAUGCCGCGUGUGUGAAGAAGGCCUUCGGGUUGUAAAGCACUUUUGUCCGGAAAGAAAUGGCUCUGGUUAAUACCUGGGGUCGAUGACGGUACCGGAAGAAUAAGGACCGGCUAACUACGUGCCAGCAGCCGCGGUAAUACGUAGGGUCCAAGCGUUAAUCGGAAUUACUGGGCGUAAAGCGUGCGCAGGCGGUUGUGCAAGACCGAUGUGAAAUCCCCGAGCUUAACUUGGGAAUUGCAUUGGUGACUGCACGGCUAGAGUGUGUCAGAGGGGGGUAGAAUUCCACGUGUAGCAGUGAAAUGCGUAGAGAUGUGGAGGAAUACCGAUGGCGAAGGCAGCCCCCUGGGAUAACACUGACGCUCAUGCACGAAAGCGUGGGGAGCAAACAGGAUUAGAUACCCUGGUAGUCCACGCCCUAAACGAUGUCAACUAGUUGUUGGGGAUUCAUUUCCUUAGUAACGUAGCUACGCGUGAAGUUGACCGCCUGGGGAGUACGGUCGCAAGAUUAAAACUCAAAGGAAUUGACGGGGACCCGCACAAGCGGUGGAUGAUGUGGAUUAAUUCGAUGCAACGCGAAAACCUUACCUACCCUUGACAUGCCACU
RNAcentral lists this ribosomal RNA (937 nucleotides) under Ralstonia mannitolilytica. Its description in RNAcentral is "bacterial SSU rRNA". It matches the Rfam family "Bacterial small subunit ribosomal RNA", at positions 66 to 993 of the family's 1533-position model. The record is from RNAcentral. Lineage: Bacteria; Pseudomonadati; Pseudomonadota; Betaproteobacteria; Burkholderiales; Burkholderiaceae.